GAGAAUUGCAAAGGGAAAAAAAAUCAAGAUUUGGAGGAAUUACCCACAGAGAUGGAAGGUCUCUCACCCAGGCAGAGUUUAGCCUGGAGAAAAAAAACCAGAGGAUCUCCUAAAGAGACAGGAAGGAGAAGCAAGUUGCACAGGGAACCUUCUCCUGUGAGGAGCCUUCUCUUUCCCCUCCCACCUCACGAAGACAACAACAGCCUGACCUAGAAACUUCCUGAAGAUUUUGAACCUCCAGAGCCAGCAGAACCGAGCCUCCUCCAUGGCCCUGCAGCAGUCCGAGGGUGGCUGAUUGCUCUGUUCCCUUUGAUUUCUCCAAAAGAAGCAAAGAAGAGAGAAACUGGAUAACUGCUGGACUUUUCUACCAAGAGAUUCGAAAGUGCUUCCUGAAUGAGAACAUCUUUUCCCAGGGCAAAAAAGAAAGUCAACAGAGCAAUCAGAACAAUAUUAUUCUCUGGGUUGGAAACAGGGUACCUUGUUUACUGAAGUUUUCCAAGGCAAAAAAAAAAAAAAUCAUUGUUUUAAUGCAGACUCUUCAAACUGCAGAAAAAAUAAAUCUUCAAGCUGUCAUAGGAUUUUGUGUAUUUCUUCUAAAACUUCUGACUGCAUUUUUUUUUCUCCCUGUCUUCCCGCAUCUCUCACCAUCGCAUUUCAUAAAACCUCCAGAGUGACCCUGUCUUCUGACAUGUGAGUUUGGACUACUUAAAUCUCAUUCAGCCCAGCUGGUCAACUCCAAAGAAAACUAAAAAUAGGAAAAUAAAAUAAAAG
RNAcentral lists this long non-coding RNA (771 nucleotides) under Ursus maritimus (polar bear). RNAcentral's name for it is "lncRNA (ENSUMAG00000015819.1)". The record is from RNAcentral. Lineage: Eukaryota; Metazoa; Chordata; Mammalia; Carnivora; Ursidae.